AUUGAACGCUGGCGGCAGGCCUAACACAUGCAAGUCGAACGGUAGCACAGAGAGCUUGCUCUCGGGUGACGAGUGGCGGACGGGUGAGUAAUGUCUGGGAAGCUGCCCGAUGGAGGGGGAUAACUACUGGAAAGGGUAGCUAAUACCGCAUAACGUCGCAAGACCAAAGUGGGGGACCUUCGGGCCUCACACCAUCGGAUGAGCCCAGAUGGGAUUAGCUAGUAGGUGGGGGAAGGGCUCACCUAGGCGACGAUCCCUAGCUGGUCUGAGAGGAUGACCAGCCACACUGGGACUGAGACACGGUCCAGACUCCUACGGGAGGCAGCAGUGGGGAAUAUUGCACAAUGGGCGCAAGCCUGAUGCAGCCAUGCCGCGUGUAUGAAGAAGGCCUUCGGGUUGUAAAGUACUUUCAGCGGGGAGGAAGGCGGUGGAGUUAAUAACUUCACCGAUUGACGUUACCCGCAGAAGAAGCACCGGCUAACUCCGUGCCAGCAGCCGCCGUAA
This 504-nucleotide ribosomal RNA is filed under the name uncultured bacterium. Its description in RNAcentral is "partial 16S ribosomal RNA". It matches the Rfam family "Bacterial small subunit ribosomal RNA", at positions 29 to 523 of the family's 1533-position model. The record is from RNAcentral.